UACGGAGGGGGCAAGCGUUGUUCGGAAUUACUGGGCGUAAAGGGCGCGUAGGCGGCACGACAAGUCGGGGGUGAAAGCCCGGGGCUCAACCCCGGAAUGUCUCUCGAAACUGUCGAGCUAGAGUGCAGAAGAGGCAACUGGAAUUCCCAGUGUAGCGGUGAAAUGCGUAGAUAUUGGGAAGAACACCUGCGGCGAAGGCGGGUUGCUGGGCUGAUACUGACGCUGAGGCGCGAAAGCCAGGGGAGCGAACGGG
This 253-nucleotide ribosomal RNA is filed under the name uncultured bacterium. RNAcentral's name for it is "partial 16S ribosomal RNA". It matches the Rfam family "Bacterial small subunit ribosomal RNA", at positions 524 to 776 of the family's 1533-position model. The record is from RNAcentral.